Bufo bufo (common toad) is the source of this 341-nucleotide long non-coding RNA. RefSeq lists it as uncharacterized. The transcript has 3 exons. Lineage: Eukaryota; Metazoa; Chordata; Amphibia; Anura; Bufonidae. The record is from RefSeq and is a predicted model, not a curated record.
AUAUGCCCCCAUUGUCUGAUAGGUGAGGGUCCCACCUCAGGGACCCGCACCUACAAGGAGAACGGAGCCAGGGAGAGUUGUGGCUGGAGUAACCCAGGGUUUCCUGGGGUCCAUCCACCAUUAGGCGCAGCUCCCCGCCUCUUCCACUGAAGUGAACGGGAGCGCACCGCACACAUGCGCAGCCACCGCUCCCAUUCAUUUCUAUGGGGCCGACGGAAAUAGCCGAGCCAGCGCUCGGCUAUUUUCGGCGGCUCCAUAGAAAUGAAUGAAGGGUGGCUGCGCAUGCGCAGUGCACCCUCCUCCACUUUCUCUGCUCCGUUAUCCUUCUCCACCACUGGGAC